This 329-nucleotide unclassified non-coding RNA is filed under the name soil metagenome. RNAcentral describes it as "partial contains 5.8S ribosomal RNA, internal transcribed spacer 2, and large subunit ribosomal RNA". The stretch from base 1 to 120 matches the Rfam family "5.8S ribosomal RNA", at positions 35 to 154 of the family's 154-position model. The record is from RNAcentral.
GAUGAAGAACGCAGCAAAAUGCGAUAAGUAAUGUGAAUUGCAGAAUUCAGUGAAUCAUCGAAUCUUUGAACGCACAUUGCGCCCCUUGGUAUUCCGAGGGGCAUGCCUGUUCGAGCGUCAUUAUAACCCCUCAAGCUCAGCUUGGUGUUGGGGCCUGCUGCACUGGCAGCCCUUAAAAUCAGUGGCGGCGCCAUCUGGCUCUAAGCGUAGUAAUUCUUCUCGCUAUGGAGUCCUGGUGGAUGCUUGCCAUCAACCCCCAAUUUUUCUAUGGUUGACCUCGGAUCAGGUAGGGAUACCCGCUGAACUUAAGCAUAUCAAUAAGCGGAGGA